RNAcentral lists this ribosomal RNA (449 nucleotides) under uncultured bacterium. RNAcentral describes it as "partial 16S ribosomal RNA". It matches the Rfam family "Bacterial small subunit ribosomal RNA", at positions 29 to 523 of the family's 1533-position model. The record is from RNAcentral.
AACGAACGCUGGCGGCAUGCCUAACACAUGCAAGUCGAACGAGAUCUUCGGGUCUAGUGGCGCACGGGUGCGUAACGCGUGGGAAUCUGCCCUUUGGUUCGGAAUAACAGUUGGAAACGACUGCUAAUACCGGAUGAUGACGAAAGUCCAAAGAUUUAUCGCCAGAGGAUGAGCCCGCGUAGGAUUAGCUAGUUGGUGUGGUAAAGGCGCACCAAGGCGACGAUCCUUAGCUGGUCUGAGAGGAUGAUCAGCCACACUGGGACUGAGACACGGCCCAGACUCCUACGGGAGGCAGCAGUGGGGAAUAUUGGACAAUGGGCGAAAGCCUGAUCCAGCCAUGCCGCGUGAGUGAUGAAGGCCUUAGGGUUGUAAAGCUCUUUCGCUGGGGAAGAUAAUGACGGUACCCAGAGAAGAAGCCCCGGCUAACUUCGUGCCAGCCGCCGCGGUAA